This 433-nucleotide ribosomal RNA is filed under the name uncultured bacterium. RNAcentral's name for it is "partial 16S ribosomal RNA". It matches the Rfam family "Bacterial small subunit ribosomal RNA", at positions 29 to 507 of the family's 1533-position model. The record is from RNAcentral.
AACGAACGCUGGCGGCAUGCCUAACACAUGCAAGUCGAACGAGACCUUCGGGUCUAGUGGCGCACGGGUGCGUAACGCGUGGGAACCUGCCCUUAGGUUCGGAAUAACUCCCCGAAAGGGGUGCUAAUACCGGAUAAUGUCUUCGGACCAAAGAUUGAUCGCCUUUGGAUGUGCCCGCGUUGGAUUAGCUAGUUGGUAGGGUAAAAGCCUACCAAGGCGACGAUCCAUAGCUGGUCUGAGAGGAUGAUCAGCCACACUGGGACUGAGACACGGCCCAGACUCCUACGGGAGGCAGCAGUGGGGAAUAUUGGACAAUGGGCGAAAGCCUGAUCCAGCAAUGCCGCGUGAGUGAUGAAGGCCUUAGGGUUGUAAAGCUCUUUUACCCGGGAUGAUAAUGACAGUACCGGGAGAAUAAGCACCGGCUAACUCCGUG